This is a long non-coding RNA of Lycium barbarum (goji berry), 402 nucleotides long. RefSeq lists it as uncharacterized. Lineage: Eukaryota; Viridiplantae; Streptophyta; Magnoliopsida; Solanales; Solanaceae. The record is from RefSeq and is a predicted model, not a curated record. The transcript is spliced from 3 exons.
UGGCGAGUAUCAAAACUUUGCAUUUGCUAAAACCAGCAAAAAUUGUGACUGAUUCUUUCUUCUUCAGUGUCACUAAAAAUGGUAUUUCCUCAUUCCCACUGGCAACUAAGCCUAAGCAUUCGACAACUCAGCGAAGUUACUCUGUGAAAUCGAGUGUUUUAGAGCCUCCUGAUAUUCCUCGUUUGGCUUAAAAAGCUCAGAUUUCACUAACCCCUCAAGAAGUUGAAGAAUUCGCUCCCAAAAUUCAACAAGUUAUAGAUUGAAUUCCAGCUGUGCUAGAACUUUAAAUAGUGUGGAACCUUUGAAGCGUGCUUGAGGUAUUCGUCCAAGAACUUGGUGGAAACUUUAAGUAUUUGUCUGUCUAAGCUGACCGAAGGCUGAAAAAAGCCUCAAUCGAUAAUU